GUGUCAGCCGCCGCGGUAAGACAGAGGGUGCAAACGUUGCUCGGAAUUACUGGGCGUAAAGCGCGUGUAGGCGGGUUGGUAAGUCAGACGUGAAAUCCCCGAGCUCAACUCGGGAACUGCAUUUGAAACUGCCAGCCUAGAGUGGUGGAGAGGGUAGCGGAAUUCCUGGUGUAGAAGUGAAAUUCGUAGAUAUCAGGAGGAACACCGGUGGCGAAGGCGACUACCUGGACACCAACUGACGCUGAGACGCGAAAGCGUGGGGAGCAAACAGGAUUAGAUACCCGCGUAGUCC
RNAcentral lists this ribosomal RNA (292 nucleotides) under uncultured bacterium. RNAcentral's name for it is "partial 16S ribosomal RNA". It matches the Rfam family "Bacterial small subunit ribosomal RNA", at positions 505 to 796 of the family's 1533-position model. The record is from RNAcentral.